UUUUCAGAGAGGAUGCAGAUAGAUUAGUUUAUGCGGAUUUUUUUUUGUUGAUUAUAAUAUUUGGUGAAAUUCACUUACUAUUUAUGUUUUUGAAACUUUUUUGAGAUAUAGGAUGGGCAUGUCCAACUAUCAUUUUUUUCUAUCUUUUUGAUGAGUUAGAUUUUAUAUCCCUUCAUCCUUUUUGUUUUCCUUUUUUAUUUAAUAAUAUGCCUUUAUUUAAAAAAAUACAUACUAUUUUCUCGAUCCUUUUCUUCAAAAACAUUUUCUCGAUUCUUAAAUCAGCUUGUUUUUAAAAUAAAAUAAUAUAAAUAUAAAUUAAAA
RNAcentral lists this long non-coding RNA (321 nucleotides) under Lathyrus oleraceus (garden pea). RNAcentral's name for it is "Pisum sativum (pea) long non-coding RNA (PSAT_LNC038533)". Lineage: Eukaryota; Viridiplantae; Streptophyta; Magnoliopsida; Fabales; Fabaceae. The record is from RNAcentral.